This 207-nucleotide non-coding RNA is filed under the name Vibrio rumoiensis. RNAcentral's name for it is "Lysine sequence". It matches the Rfam family "Lysine riboswitch aptamer". From Rfam's summary of the family: Riboswitches are metabolite binding domains within certain messenger RNAs that serve as precision sensors for their corresponding targets. Allosteric rearrangement of mRNA structure is mediated by ligand binding, and this results in modulation of gene expression. This family includes riboswitches that sense lysine in a number of genes involved in lysine metabolism, including lysC. The record is from RNAcentral. RNAcentral also lists the same sequence under 1 other name. Lineage: Bacteria; Pseudomonadati; Pseudomonadota; Gammaproteobacteria; Vibrionales; Vibrionaceae.
CAUUUAAGAAGAGGAGCAUAACCCAGGUAGAUUAUUCGUGGAUCCCGUAAUCCAAAACGAAUGAUUCAGGGGGAGUUAUGCCGAGAUGGGUAAGUUUCCGGGAAUUUAUCACAUCGGUUGUUAUAUCAAUGCUGAGCACUGAUAUUAGGUUGAAUCCUAACAACUGUCAUUAAAGCCUGAUGGUAUUAAUGAAGAGCUUCUAAGGUU